GACGAACGCUGGCGGCGUGCUUAACACAUGCAAGUCGUACGGUAAGGCCCUGCCGGUGUUACACGCGUGGCGGACGAGCGAGUAAGACGUGAGUAACCAGCCCACAACUUUCGGAUAAAGCACUUAAACUGGUUCGAAUUCUGGAUAUGUGCUACUGCUGCCUGGAUGGGGUUGGAAAGCACCGGCCGGUGUGGGUGGACUCGCGGGCUAUCAGCUUGUUGGUUGGGGAGGUGCCUACCAAGGAGGCGACGGGUAGGCGGCCUGGGAGGGGGAGCGGCCAAAAUGGGAACUAGAUACGGCCCAGACUCCUACGGGAGGCAGCGGUGGGGAAUAUUGCACAAUGGGCGGAAGCCUGAUGCAGCAACGCCGCGUGCGGGAUGACGGGCUUCGGGUUGUAAACCGCUUUCAGCAGGGACGAAGCCUUUUGUGACGGUACCUGCAGAAGAAGCACCGGCUAACUACGUG
This 465-nucleotide ribosomal RNA is filed under the name uncultured bacterium. RNAcentral describes it as "partial 16S ribosomal RNA". It matches the Rfam family "Bacterial small subunit ribosomal RNA", at positions 28 to 507 of the family's 1533-position model. The record is from RNAcentral.